GUGUCAGCCGCCGCGGUAAUACGUAGGGUGCGAGCGUUAAUCGGAAUUACUGGGCGUAAAGCGUGCGCAGGCGGUUAUACAAGCCAGGCGUGAAAUCCCCGGGCUUAACCUGGGAACGGCGCCUGUGACUGUAUAGCUAGAGUGUGUCAGAGGGGGGUAGAAUUCCACGUGUAGCAGUGAAAUGCGUAGAUAUGUGGAGGAAUACCAAUGGCGAAGGCAGCCCCCUGGGAUAACACUGACGCUCAUGCACGAAAGCGUGGGGAGCAAACAGGAUUAGAAACCCUGGUAGUCC
This 292-nucleotide ribosomal RNA is filed under the name uncultured Polynucleobacter sp. Its description in RNAcentral is "partial 16S ribosomal RNA". It matches the Rfam family "Bacterial small subunit ribosomal RNA", at positions 505 to 796 of the family's 1533-position model. The record is from RNAcentral. Lineage: Bacteria; Pseudomonadati; Pseudomonadota; Betaproteobacteria; Burkholderiales; Burkholderiaceae.